Molecule: long non-coding RNA, 567 nt
Organism: Erigeron canadensis
Lineage: Eukaryota; Viridiplantae; Streptophyta; Magnoliopsida; Asterales; Asteraceae
Exons: 5
Source: RefSeq, a predicted model, not a curated record
UGAUAUAUAUUGUAAAUAGUUAUGUAAGCUCGGUUAAUGUGCAGGUAAAUCUUCGAAUUCUUAUGCAGAUUUAGAUGAGGUCGAAUAGGGGAUUGAUUAUGCCAGCACUUCUAUAAUGUUUGAUACAACCUCAAAUAAAGCUGAAACAACGCCUAUUCAAUGACCUGCUUAUGGAGGAGGAGACGCGAGAAGCAAUGGAGCAGUCAGAAGUGGGGCUCCUUAAAUAAGCGUUGCCCAUUGAAGUACGAAAAAUUGGAGUUGGCUGAGUUAACUAAGAUUAAUGAUUUCUUAGAUUUAUGAUCAUUUUCGCAAUGGGUCUGUCAAACGAUGCCUGCUCCAGCUGUUCAGCUAUGCAGGUGAACAACUAUGCAUUAACAAUACAUUCAAAGCAUAGCUCAAGAAAGUAACUCAAUGUCUCAAAAUGCAGCUCAACGUAUAUUAAUAUAGAUUGAAAGUUUUCUUUACAAUCUUUAAAACAUCGGAUUGAUAACGGUUGGUUAAUGUAGAAGAUAAGAUCUCAAUUCAUUUUCUACAUUAAUUAGAUAAAAAUUAUUAGUCUUAUUGCAU